Molecule: long non-coding RNA, 1784 nt
Organism: Oncorhynchus tshawytscha (Chinook salmon)
Lineage: Eukaryota; Metazoa; Chordata; Actinopteri; Salmoniformes; Salmonidae
Source: Ensembl
UGGAAUUGGGCCCAGGGUUCUGCUGAUUGGUUGAGGCUACGUGAGGUCAGCCAGGUGUAGAUCAUUUGGUGUAGAUCAAGUCCCAUUAAAAACUCCAUAAUGUGCACAAGGUAGACUGCUAGAUUAUCAAUCAUCUUUUUCAGAAAAAAAUAAUCAGGGAAGACGUCACAUACCUGUAGCGGUAAAUGGAAGUUGUUGCUAUGGUGACGGUAGGAUGCAACAAGCAUGAGUACCUGUUAAGUUCAACAUCGCAUGAGGAGUACUCAGAUGACGAGAUCUCAACCAAGAAAGAGAUGCACUGGAGACUUGGACCAGAGAACCACGACGAUACUGUCCUGUAUGACUUUGAGAUGGCCUGUGAUACCCAGGAGGAGAUACUGGUGAAGUCUGCAGAUAAUGGUGUGGCCUGUCUAACACAGACAGACCCUGUGUUGCAUGAUUGGGGUGGUUUUGGUUCAUUUUAAUACUUGUAUGAAAUAUUAAAUGGCUCUAACAUUAUUGCAAAACAGUAAGCAAUUAUUUAUUUUAGGUGACCUCCUGGUCAUACUGCAGUUAACUCCUUAAUACCAACAUUUCAUAGGAAAUUGUCAUACAAAAAAAGUAGACCAUUGAGCCGAAUCAGUAGUUUUGACUAUUUACAAUAAAGUAACAAAGCGCGCACUGUUUUGAAAUGUUUGAUUCGGUAUCUGGGGCAAAUAAAACCACAACCAUAAUUCUUGUGAUACAGGAUAUUUAAGUUAUUAAUGAACAGUCUGAGCAUCAUGGGUUUACUGUAAUACUGGUCUCUGGCCGAAUAAUCACUUCUAUUGAACCUAGAAGUCUCUUGAAGCCAUGCUAGCGUUAUGUGCCCGUCCAGGUGUGUUAGCCAUGCUAGUGUUAUGUGCCCGUCCAGGUGUGUUAGCCAUGCUAGUGUUAUGUGCCCGUCCAGGUGUGUUAGCCAUGCUAGCGUUAUGUAGCCUGUCCAGGUGUAGAUCAGGAAGUAUUAACUCGGUGUGUCAUGUACUUUCCUGUGGAGACAUUUAGGACAAACUGUACACUAAAACAAAAUGACCCCACCCCAAACAGUUUGUUGCACUCAUUUAUCUGAGGUGCUUUCAAUUACUGGUUACUCAACUUGGGUGUUGUCACAUGGUACUACCACAUAACUCAGGACUCCAGUCUAAUGUUUUUUCUUUGUUUUCUAGGUGGCGGUGGAGUUCAUCACCCAUGAUGCCCUGUCGAGAUCAAUAUCACCCGAGGAGUACUCCGACGAUGAGAUAUCAACCAAGAAGGCGACGCAUUGGAGACUUGGACCAGCGGAUCACUGUGAUACUAUUCCCUACACGGGCAACUUGAACCAUAGUGUUGCUGUUCGCUUUGACUUUGAUAAUACUGUUCUGUAUGACUUUGACAUGGACCGUGAUACCCAGGAGGAGGAGAUGGUGAAGUCUGCCGAGGAUGAAGUGUCCUGUCGAGUACACAGAUACAGGUUGUGUAGUAUGGAUAGACCCUCUGUUGGCUGAUUGUGGGAUGUGUUGUGGCUGUUUUUUAAAAUAUUUUUUUACAUAUGUAAUGUCUAAAUAUCUUUAUGAAUGAUUAAAAUUGAUUAUUAUUAUUUGGGCUUUUAUUCAACACUAUAUUCGAUCCAAUCCAGGCAAAGUCUUAUUCUAGCAGGUAACCUAAAACAUUUCAUAAGAUUGACAAAUGUAAUAAAAAGUCAUCUCUAAACAUAAUGUACACCUGGAGAUUACCCUACAAGAGACUACCUAGUAAAGCUAUUUUAAGGAUUGAUCGUUUAAAAAAAU